UGUAAAUAGCACGUACGGAAUUUCAAAUAAGACAUUGAUACAUUACAACACUUGCCGUCAGUAUUUGAAUAUAUUGAUUAAGAAGGUUGUCAGCAAGAUGAAAAAGGACAAGUAUGCAGUUCAAAAUUCAAAAUGUGGAUAAGCUGAGGUUCAAGGUCUUACCUUUGCAGAUUUUCAUAUUUUGCAUGAAUGAAUUCAAAGGUUAUAUGAUGGACAGCAGAGAAAGAAAAAAACAACUUUUCAAUUAUCCUGCUCCUGGAUUAAUGUAAAACAUCUUGUUUUUCGAAGGAUUGAAAUUCACCACCUAGAAUAAAUGGAGAAAACAUAGAAACAAGACCAGAAUAAAUUCAAAGACAAAAGUUGGAUCAGUUAUUAUUUUCAUCACUCAGUCAAUGAUUUGAAGCUCUUUUAAAUACAAAAAAAUAUUGAAACCACAAUAAUGUCAAAGUUCUGUGCUGAAUGACCAAAAAGUGGACUAUACCAUCAAACAAUGCUGGAUGAUAAGAAACUAUUAAUGUUUUGUGUUGAGGGAUAUUGUGAAAAAAAUAGAUUUACUUAAAUAGCUGCUAGUAUGUUAAGCCUAACAAUAGAGGUUUUAUUGAU
Molecule: long non-coding RNA, 603 nt
Organism: Mytilus trossulus (common blue mussel)
Lineage: Eukaryota; Metazoa; Mollusca; Bivalvia; Mytilida; Mytilidae
Exons: 3
Source: RefSeq, a predicted model, not a curated record